GUAUGCACCUGGGGAACAUGCAUCACUUUAAAGAACACAAAGUGUUUAAAGGGGAGAGAGUGGUUCUGUCAGCAGAGGGGCUGUGUGCACUAGCCGGUGUGCAGUCUUGAGCUCUUGGUUCUGUUUUGGGGAAUAGAUUGGGGAAAAGAUGAGUACUUAGAUCUGGGGUCUGGUACCAACAAGACAGACCUCAUCUCCUUCCCAUCGCCACAGCUGGUUGAUGAAGUCCCCUCUCUAAACUCUACGCCUUGGCAAGCCCCUUGCAAGCAGGACCCAGCGCCCAGCCUAUUUCUAGGUAUUAGCACGAUGAGCACUUGAGCCAGCAGCACCCCAGUCCUUCCCUGUGACCACAGAGUCUGGCACAUGGUCAUCACCUCGAGGAGAGGGCGAGGGAGGCCGCCCCCCCCAUCAUGCCCUGAGUUCAGGGUGGCGUCCCCCGACCACACAGCUCCCACCUGCCUUCGGUGUUCACUGAGGCAGAACACUGGGGGGACAUCUCCAGAUGACCCUCAGGAAGAAGGACGGGGACCCCGGGCUCACCCCUGCAGCUGGGUCUUUAUCGCACGGUAAGAUGCCCCAGGCUCAGAGAACAGCCUUCCCAAGGGGUGGGGGUCUCUGCGACCAACCCUGGGCGCCGGGCUGUCGGGCCCCUGGCUCACCCGCAGCGCGGCCUCCGGGUCCCCGGCCAGCAGGUGCACGCAGCCCACGUUGAAGCACAUCCUGGCGGGCGGCUCGGGGUCGCCCGAGAAGAGGCGGAGGGCGCAGCCCCAGUCCCCGCGCGCCACAGCCUGCACGCCCCGGUGCCAGUCGCGCACCAGGUCUCCCCGAGAGGGCAUGGCGGCGUGGACACCCGCCAGACUGCGGCGCGAGUCUGGCUUCCGGGCCGGAGCGCGGCGGGCGAGGCCGGCGGCGGCGGGGGUCCCGUGAGGGAUCCGGCGGGACGACUGGGGGCGAGGGCCGCGGAGCAGGAGCUUCAGGGUCCGGAGGCCGGCGUGGGGAUGGGGGGGCCCCCCUUAGAUGCCGGCACCGGGGUCCAGACCGAAGGGGCGCUUGGCCCUCGGAGCGCGCGGAGUCCGCCAGCCGCAGGUGCGCCACGCCUCCUGCUGCCCACGGCGCCCCCUGGCGGCCGGGCGACCCCGCCCCUCCCCGAGCCGGCCCCCGCUCCGUCCACACGGCCCCGCCCCCCACAGGGGCCGCCCCUCUACAUCCGACCCCGCCCCUCCCCGCGCUUCUGCCGCGCCCAUCCCGACUUCCGCCGGGAGCUCCCGGAGCUCGCGUUUCCCGGCUCGCCUCGCCCCGGGCCGUGUGGCUCUCGGUGCUCCAGGGAAAGCCGUCCGGGCCCGCCGCUGCGGCGGCCGGGCCAGGGUUCCGGGCGGGCCCCGCUGGCCCAGGUCCCACCUCGGGCUCCUCAGUGCCGACAGCUGCAGCCCCCCACACCCUGCCCAUCCUUGAAGCUCAAACCUUCGACCUGA
RNAcentral lists this long non-coding RNA (1472 nucleotides) under Zalophus californianus (California sea lion). Its description in RNAcentral is "lncRNA (ENSZCAG00015025190.1)". The record is from RNAcentral. Lineage: Eukaryota; Metazoa; Chordata; Mammalia; Carnivora; Otariidae.